GGGAAGACUCCUUUACUCGGAUCGUCCGGCACGUUCCUGCCGGUGAACGGAGCACUUC
Molecule: regulatory RNA element, 58 nt
Rfam family: msiK RNA
Source: Rfam